This is a long non-coding RNA of Coregonus clupeaformis (lake whitefish), 498 nucleotides long. RefSeq lists it as uncharacterized. NCBI's taxonomy places the organism in Eukaryota, Metazoa, Chordata, Actinopteri, Salmoniformes, Salmonidae. The transcript is spliced from 3 exons. The record is from RefSeq and is a predicted model, not a curated record.
UUUGGCCCACUUAUAGGCAUCAGGCAUGACUUGGAUGACUUGGUUGACAGGGAUUACCGAACUGUCAAUGUCUGAGUGCUUUUCAAGAGAGGUGUCCAAAAAGGAGUGUGUGUGUGUGUUUGUGUGUGUCUGUGUGUGUGUGUAAUUCACAGGAUAUAUCAAUAGAGACGAAAGCAUUGAUGUCAAUGUGGUAUAAAGGGAAGCUACAUUGCAAGAAACAGCAAGAAACAUCAAGAGAGUUCACAAGAGCAUUUCCGAGGUUAAUUUCCCUCAGACAUGCGGUAAAACCUCACCAAGAAAGAAGUAACACAACCAAAACAAGGCCUAUCUCAAACCCACUGCAGGAGGGCAAAGGCAACAUGGAGAGAGGAGAGAAAAAAAGAGGAGAGGAAGGUUGUUUUGGGUCGACGAGUGCUUGAGCAUGUAGAGAGAGAGAGAGAUCUAAGGACACUGAUCUAAGGCCGGUGGUAGCUGGUCCACUCCAGAUGAAUGAGGUAC